This 24-nucleotide non-coding RNA is filed under the name Arabidopsis thaliana (thale cress). The record is from RNAcentral. Lineage: Eukaryota; Viridiplantae; Streptophyta; Magnoliopsida; Brassicales; Brassicaceae.
UUAUUUCAGGCUUAAUGUCUUGGC